GACAGAGGGUGCAAACGUUGUUCGGAAUUACUGGGCGUAAAGCGUGCGCAGGCGGCUUCUCAAGUCAGGGGUGAAAGCCCAGAGCUCAACUCUGGAAUUGCCUUUGAGACUGAGUGGCUUGAGUACGGGAGAGGUGAGUGGAAUUCCCAGUGUAGAGGUGAAAUUCGUAGAUAUUGGGAAGAACACCGGUGGCGAAGGCGGCUCACUGGCCCGUAACUGACGCUCAUGCACGACAGCGUGGGGAUCAAACAGG
Molecule: ribosomal RNA, 253 nt
Filed under: uncultured bacterium
Lineage: Bacteria
Description: partial 16S ribosomal RNA
Rfam family: Bacterial small subunit ribosomal RNA
Source: RNAcentral